This 253-nucleotide ribosomal RNA is filed under the name uncultured bacterium. Its description in RNAcentral is "partial 16S ribosomal RNA". It matches the Rfam family "Bacterial small subunit ribosomal RNA", at positions 524 to 776 of the family's 1533-position model. The record is from RNAcentral.
UACGUAGGGUGCAAGCGUUGUCCGGAAUUAUUGGGCGUAAAGAGCUCGUAGGCGGUUUGUCGCGUCGGCUGUGAAAUCCCGAGGCUCAACCUCGGGCCUGCAGUCGAUACGGGCAAACUAGAGUGUGGUAGGGGAGACUGGAAUUCCUGGUGUAGCGGUGAAAUGCGCAGAUAUCAGGAGGAACACCCGUGGCUAAGGCGGCUCUCUAGUACGGUACUGACGCUGAGACGCGAAAGCGUGGGGAGCGAACAGG